Molecule: ribosomal RNA, 515 nt
Filed under: uncultured bacterium
Lineage: Bacteria
Description: partial 16S ribosomal RNA
Rfam family: Bacterial small subunit ribosomal RNA
Source: RNAcentral
GAUGAACGCUGGCGGCGUGCCUAAUACAUGCAAGUCGAGCGAAUGGAUUGAGAGCUUGCUCUUAUGAAGUUAGCGGCGGACGGGUGAGUAACACGUGAGUAACCUGCCCAUAAGACUGGGAUAACUCCGGGAAACCGGGGCUAAUACCGGAUAACAUUUUGAACCGCAUGGUUCGAAAUUGAAAGGCGGCUUCGGCUGUCACUUAUGGAUGGACCCGCGUCGCAUUAGCUAGUUGUGGAGGUACCGGCUAACCAAGGGAACGAUGCGUAGCCGACCUGAGAGGGUGAUCGGCCACACUGGGACUGAGACACGGCCCAGACUCCUACGGGAGGCAGCAGUAGGGAAUCUUCCGCAAUGGACGAGAGUCUGACGGAGCAACGCCGCGUGAGUGAUGAAGGCUUUCGGGUCGUAAAACUCUGUUGUUAGGGAAGAACAAGUGCUAGUUGAAUAAGCUGGCACCUUGACGGUACCUAACCAGAAAGCCACGGCUAACUACGUGCCAGCCGCCGCCGUAA